Molecule: long non-coding RNA, 1355 nt
Organism: Vicia villosa (hairy vetch)
Lineage: Eukaryota; Viridiplantae; Streptophyta; Magnoliopsida; Fabales; Fabaceae
Exons: 5
Source: RefSeq, a predicted model, not a curated record
UUCUACACCAACUCGCCGCAAUUUUCUGUUCAUAAACUCUCAAUCUCUUCUCAAGCACUUCGUCUCCUCCUCCAUCUCUUUGUUUCUUCUCAAAACAUCACUAAUCAAAGCAAUCAGUUUCAAAUUCAGUUUUCUGUGUUUUAGUUCAGUUCAAAGCCUCCAAAGCAAUCAACUCCAAUCUAUAGAUUCGGUUUUACUGUUUGCAAAACAGAGGGAGCGGUGCUUCGCUUAUGGCGAAAGCUGCGAUGAACUCACACGAACCUGCACUUUACUCACUUGCUGUUAUACAGUUUAACGGAAGCGGCGGUACCAGAAGUAGUAAGGACCUCUGUCGGAUCUCCGAGGGGACGCGAUUUCUUAUUCAAAUCUUCAAUCUCAACUCCGAUUCUUCGCGGCAUCUGAAUUCCUGGUCCUUGAUGUUCUAUCAUCUCCGCCGCCACCCCCACCACCACCAUUUCUUCUAACUCCGUCAUCUUUUCAUCUCACUUCAUUCUUCUAUCGUAUUGUGGGGUAUCAAUUUGAAGUCAGUGGGUAAGUCCAAGAAGACAAAACAAACUGCAACAGAAUUUGAUGAUUUAUAUAUGAUGCUUCUCGUCAGGGAGGGUAAGAUUGAUGUAGUUGUGGGUGCUGUGACCAAUGAUAUUCGUGUUUAUGAAGUGCCUGCGAUAAAGGUAACUACUCUGAGGUUCACAGAAACUGCUAGAGCUAGAAUUGUCAAGGCUGGUGGGGAGUGCCUUACCUUUGAUGACCUGGCUGUUAGAGCACUUUUAGGCUAGAACACGGUCUAUGAAAUAGAGAUUCCAACCAUGGACCAGGACCGUCCGCUCGUCGGAUUUUGGCGAUUUUGGGCUGAUUUUGUUAGGGCUGAUUUAGUUUUUGUUAGGGAUGACCAGAUUUUGGUUCUGUUGCAAACAUGUGAAUUGAAUUAUAAUGGUGUAUAUAUUUUGGAUUAUAAUGGUAUAUAAUGCCUUUUUUUGUAUAUUUUCCGGCUUCUUUGUUGAAAUAAAAGCUCCUUGAAAUGUAAGGCUUGAGUUACAGGUUUAUGGGAUUAAUCCCAAAAAUAUGCUUUAAUAAAAAAAGAAAUAGAACUCGCUGAUUUAUUGUUAUUAUUAUUUUGUGUGCUGCUGUCAAAAGGGGUGCAUUAUUAGAAGGCACUUAUAAAUUAAAGUGAGGAAUAGACAACAUUUUUAAAGAAAAACGUUGUCUAAAAGAUAACCAAAAGGGGUGCAUUAGAAAGCACUUCUAAAUUAAAGUGGAGAAUAGACAACGCUUUUAAAGAAAAGCGCUGUCUAAAGCAAUGUCUAAAAUAUAACCAAAAGCGCUGUCUAAAGAGAAAGCGCUGUCUAAAGGGGUGU